This 4789-nucleotide long non-coding RNA is filed under the name Strigops habroptila (Kakapo). RNAcentral describes it as "lncRNA (ENSSHBG00005008429.1)". Lineage: Eukaryota; Metazoa; Chordata; Aves; Psittaciformes; Psittacidae. The record is from RNAcentral.
GGAGCAUUUCAUCUUGGUCAAGGAAGCAGCACUUAAUGUUUACUGAGAGGAAAUCGAUGCCGGAUGAAUAUCGCAAAUGGGAGCUGCUGCCUGAAAGGACACCAUCGCUCUUCCAAAGGACCUUGCACUCGGGGUUAUGGCUUCAAGCUUCUUCUCGGGUAAAGGACAGAAGAAAUCAGGUUCGAAUAUUAUUUUGCCCUUGUUUUCAUCUAUUAAUGGGUCUGGCUUUAUUUCACUGCAGACCAGGAGGAGCCGUACAGGAAGGCUGGGUUCAAAAUGCUGAGUUUACACACCUCCAUCACCUGAACUUGUUCCUGUGGUUGCCCGUGAGGCCAAAUGGGAGGUGGCAGCUCAUGUCCUCCAUAUGUGGGUACAUCAUUCCUCCAGGAAAAGUUGCCAUCUUCCAUUCCCUGGAGCUCUUUUAGAGAGUAAAUAGUUGUCAGAUGUGUAAAUAUUUGGUGUCCAGUGAGCCAAGUCUGUUGUUUGAAAUGUUUGGAUCAAUUAGAGAGUAAUGUAAAGUGAAGCAGAGGUGGGAAUGGGGAUCCAGGCACCCAGAUAUGCUGCGCUGCAGCCCUGGAGCUGAAGUAGCCAGCAGGGGUGUGCUGGGAGCCAUCCAUGCCCCAUGGGCAUGUCUCCUCCUGGCAGCACUCCAGCUGACACUUGAAUCCUUCUGAGAUGGGGAAAUCCACCAAACAGGUCCUCAGGCUGCUACUCCAUUUCCUUCUGGAAAGGUGAAGGGUGAAGGGAGCUCAGCACCCAGGGGCUGCCUCGAGGUGCUGAAAGCUACAUACAUGUGGGAGAAAAAGCACAGAUCGCUCAUUUCUGCAGGAGAUGGCCGUGUCUACCUGUGUCCUUGGACUCUUCUCUAGUUUAUAAAAUAAAAUAAACCACAUUUUUUAACUCUUGAAAUGGUCUCUCCCAGUGAUUAGAAAAUCCAGGAAGGAAAUCGGCAGAGGGAGCCCUUUGGACAGCCCCAAGUCUUUGGACAGUACUGCCAGAAGGCAGCGAGGAGCUGUGGGGCUCACACCGAGCACAUCCCUGAGUGGGGAAAUGCACUGAACAUCACUCUUGGGAAUACUGAAAAGAAUGAGGGAUCUGUGCUUCCUUCCCUGGAUUUUGCGAGGCAUUGCCCAAGCGACCAUCACCCACAGAACAUGAGCCAGCAGCACAUCCCAACCACACCAGCAAUAGCUUUUUCACCAGCAGAGCAAAGAAAACAAGCCCCAGAAGCUCCGUCCCAGCCAGCCCACUUGCUUUCUCACCUUAAACCUACGCGUUAAACCCAGGAGCAAAUAGAGGGUUCACAGGAAUUAAUGGCAAAACCCCCCCAGAGGCUGCAGACAAGUAAGAGCUGCUUGUGGGAAAGGCACGUGAAAUCCUACCACCAUGACAGAGUUUAGGGAGAGAACAUGACAUGUUUUAGUGCAUUAGAUGUUGGCUGGUUUAUUUUCAGAGGUGCAAAACGCUCCUGCCACUCGGGGUACACGGUGUGUCUGCAGUGGGAGAGAACAGAAUAGCAUUAAUAAUUUCUCCAAGACAAUUAAUUAGACUCUUUCCCAAGGAUAAAGCUUAAUCUAAUUUCUGCUGUUAUACUUUGUCUUCAUAAAAGUCUGAAGAAAUGAAUGAGCUUUAUAGCACCCUCGCAUGACAGAAACCUUGGGCUUUCUUGUGAAAAAUGAGGGACUGAGCAAAACUGCCAGCACUUGUGAUCUUUCUAUCAGACCUGAAAAGUUCCCUUUUAUUCUUGAAAUCCCUCCUUUUAUCCCAGUUUUGGCUUUUAUUCUGUUUUUAACAAGCAAACUUUGAGCCUUGGUCAAAGUCUGAAAUAUGAACUGCAGAGACUCAAAACCCCAGCAGCAAAUAAACAGAGAGAAGAUGGUUGUUUUAAGCGGAUCUCAUGAUCUUUGAACAGUUGAUGUUGGCAAUACUGAGCACGCUGCAGAAAUGAGGGGCCUUCCACGGAGAGCACUCCAAUAGCAAUCCACAGGUCCUGAGGCCAUUACAAAAAUCAGAAAGAGAAAACAUUUGUUAGGCCUAGAUAGGAAAUGUAAUCCGGGUUUAUAGCUGAUUUUAUCUAGCUCACUAAAGAGCUUGGCUCUGGAGUUUGAGCGGGUUGGGCUCAGUCGUCCCCAAGCAAAGAGUACUGUUUGUGUCAUAAACCAAAGUAACUUUAUUUGCUAUAUGUUUUAUAGGCUGCCAUGACGCAUCACCAGGGCUUGUGUCGCUGCAGCACAAAUGUUUCCAAAGUCUCCUUAGCCACCAGAGACGAAGAUCACAACAGGGUGUUUACCUUGGGUGUGUUGACAUGCUGAUGCUUCAAUUCAGGUCAAAAGCUACACAUCAGGUUCUCACUGCAACAUUCACCCCAAGCAAUUUGUGUAGGCUGCAAAGCAUUCCUGUUCACUUUUGGGAGCACGAAAUCCUUAAGUAUUUGCACGACACCCAUAGCGUGCUUGUACUUUGUGCCUGCUCUCUACCCGUUUUCCCUAUCUGAUCCUCUGUCUCAGUGAAAACACUGUCCCAGAGUUUCCUGCCGUUGAAAGUUACAUGUCACACCAAUGAGAAGUGGUGCUGAGCCUGUGUAAACACCUGAUGUGGCAGAACUAACCUUCAGGAAGACCCAACCUCAAGAAUGAGACAGCAAAAAAAAACCCCCUCCCAGCUUUCCCUUCUGCCUGCACGGUUGAGGAAGGACAGUUUCUGCUUCAGAGGCACUGAGUAGUGUUUUCACUGGGCUGGUGGCGGAGGGAAACCAUCAUGGGACCAAGCUGAGUCACCAGCGUCUGACGUGAUGUGUCCAGAGCAUCCUGCACCUCUCCAGAAGCAUCUGGAAGGAGCGUGUGGUCUGCAGCACCCAGUCCAGUCCGGCGAGCACCCACCCGCUGCGGCUCUGCACUGUCCCUCCAUCACCACACAUCACUGCCAGAGCCAGGGGUACACAUAGGACAAAGCUUCCCCUCCUCACUGGGAGCGCCAGGGCAGUGAUGUGAGCCUCAGGCUGGAGCAAUGAUGUGGGGAAGAAUUCCCUCUGGAAAACCAUCAUCAGCCUCUGUGGUGGUUUGCAAGCAAGGAAAAGACGCCCCAGCCUUCAUCCUGCCAGAGCUUUACUGUGAACGUGAGAAGUUUGGACAUAAGGAGUAUUUCUGGUGAUCGCGCCCUCAGAGCAAGAACCUCACCAAAUAUUUUUAAACACUUCCCAGCAGAAAGUGGGUGUAGAGAGAAAGCAGAGCACUGCAGGGGUGCUCAUUGCUCCUUUUUUGAGCCUUUCCUCUCUACAUUUGAGAUUUUAAACUCAAACAGCUUUUUUUUCUCCAGCCCCUUUUGCUGUUCCUUUGCCACAUCCAUCUGUGAAGCUGGCUGCUCAGCAGCGAGGGCUGACAAACCACUUUUUGAGCAGGGGUUGCUGCGAUGCUAUGGGAUUCCUAAAGAACCGUAAGAAAACAUCCACACAGCCAGUGCUUCACGCUGAGAAUGCUAAAACCCGGAUCCUCCAGCAAACAGAGGGAAAAACAUCUCAACAUCUGUGGGAAUACAGCCCAGCUGCUCGCAUGGCCUCGACGGGGGGCUGAGAAAGUGCCCAGAGGCACAUCUCAGGGCUGGGGGCAAUAGGAAAUGCAGGGAGAGGGAGGUCUGAGGUCUGCACCAGAGAAGAGCUUGCUGGGAGGAAACUCCCGACCUCGAGGAGGAAGAGAAGGAGAUGACUCACUGAGUCAGCCCUGUCCCGUGACCGGUGAGGUAAGCUCACAGCAGCCUGGUGAAAGCCUUAUUUUCUUUAUGUUUUGUAAAAGUGCAUGGUGCCACCACCAAAAAGCUGAGCGUGACUCAGCAUUCUCACCAGGAGGAGGGAAAUUCCCUCUGGCUUUUGGCUGCUUCCAUGCUUGCCAACUGGAUUAAAGUUCACAUGGAGGAAACCUGAGAUUUCUGAUUUUGAUUUGGUGCAUAGCCUGAUAAUUAUACAUGCAAUUAUAAAUUAUAAAUGAAUCUGAAGACACAAGUGGCUUGAAAAGACCCAGCAACUUGAGGACAACCCACUGUGCCUCAAACACCCAGGCAUGAUGGAGAGGGGAAUAAGCAAUCAGUCCUGUCUAGGAUGGCAGCAACCCUUCCUAAGGAAAGAAUGUGCUGGGGCUGUGUCCAAAAUGCAAGUCUCUGGCUCUAUAACUGAGACCAAAAGUGGCCGUCAGGGUCCUCAGAAACAGGACAUGAGAUAGACGCACUGGAGGUGCUGCUUGGCAAGACAGAACCAGCACUGGCAGUGUCCUGUGCUGCAUGUCCUGCUACCACUGGCCCUUCUUUUCAUUUUAUAGAGAAAAACCAUAAUCCAAUGAUGCCAAGCCAGUAACUUUCACCAACGCUUCCAGAAAUAAGAAUAAACACAGCAAAGAGGCAGAAGGGAAGGUGAGUGUGAUACACGUGCCCAAACUUUUCAAUAUCUCGUGCUGUAAAAGCUGGUGAAUCAUUCCCUGUGAUCAUCAUGCUUAAAUCUGAAUCUGUUUAUGUUUAAACUUUUACUCAUGGCUUCGCAGUGGAAUAUUGCCAUGUCAUACCUGGAAAUUGAAAUUCCAAGAAAAUACUAGAAAAGGUUUUAAGUUAAAAAGGGCAACCCUUUCAUUGUAAAUAGUGUUUUCCAGAGAAGUGAUGCCAUGUCAAAAUUGCCACACACAUGCCAAAAAUUUAGCUGGAUGGAAGGCCGAGUGUUUUAACAUACAUACUUCAGGUCAAGAAAUAAACUGCCUUCCCAUUGUGGCCAUUAAAACUUAUCCUUCUCUUAAUUGUAGAAGAUGGUAAA